AUUGCAGAACACAUUGAACAUCGACACCUUGAACGCAUAUGGCGGCCUCGGGUCCAUCCCGUGGCCACGCCCGUCUGAGGGUUGGCG
This 87-nucleotide ribosomal RNA is filed under the name Melampus luteus. RNAcentral describes it as "partial 5.8S ribosomal RNA". It matches the Rfam family "5.8S ribosomal RNA", at positions 71 to 154 of the family's 154-position model. Rfam says of the family: 5.8S ribosomal RNA (5.8S rRNA) is a component of the large subunit of the eukaryotic ribosome. It is transcribed by RNA polymerase I as part of the 45S precursor that also contains 18S and 28S rRNA. Lineage: Eukaryota; Metazoa; Mollusca; Gastropoda; Ellobiida; Ellobiidae. The record is from RNAcentral.